UGUCGUCAGCUCGUGUUGUGAAAUGUUGGGUUAAGUCCCGCAACGAGCGCAACCCUUAUCCUUUGUUGCCAGCGGUUCGGCCGGGAACUCAAAGGAGACUGCCAGUGAUAAACUGGAGGAAGGUGGGGAUGACGUCAAGUCAUCAUGGCCCUUACGACCAGGGCUACACACGUGCUACAAUGGCAUAUACAAAGAGAAGCGACCUCGCGAGAGCAAGCGGACCUCAUAAAGUAUGUCGUAGUCCGGAUUGGAGUCUGCAACUCGACUCCAUGAAGUCGGAAUCGCUAGUAAUCGUAGAUCAGAAUGCUACGGUGAAUACGUUCCCGGGCCUUGUACACACCGCCCGUCACACCAUGGGAGUGGGUUGCAAAAGAAGUAGGUAGCUUAACCUUCGGGAGGGCGCUUACCACUUUGUGAUUCAUGACUGGGGUGAAGUCGUAACAAGGUAACCGUAGGGGAACCUGCGGUUGGAUCACCUCCUUACCUUAAAGAA
Molecule: ribosomal RNA, 493 nt
Filed under: Klebsiella pneumoniae
Lineage: Bacteria; Pseudomonadati; Pseudomonadota; Gammaproteobacteria; Enterobacterales; Enterobacteriaceae
Also listed under: 1 other name
Description: bacterial SSU rRNA
Rfam family: Bacterial small subunit ribosomal RNA
Source: RNAcentral